AGACCCUUCUUAAACACUGUUAUUGCUACCAUAGAUUGCAAAAGGGAUGUUGUUACUAUCGGUUUAGAUGAUAUGACUCAUGAAUUUAAUUUCUCUAAAUUUAGUAGACAACACCAUGAAGAAGAAUUACCUAGUAAAGAUGAAAUUAUUGGUCUUGCUUCUAUUGUCGUACCUCCUAGUGAUCCUUUAGAACAAUAUUUGCUAGACCAUGAAAAUGACAUGUUUAUGAAUGAAAGAAGGGAAAUAGACAAAGUAUUCUUUAAACAGGAACCUAUUCUGAAAAACAGUUUUCCUGUUGAAAUCCUAGGGGAUUCUCCUCCACCCAAGGGUGAUCCCGUGUUUGAGCUUAAACCAUUACCUGAUACUCUUAAAUAU
This 375-nucleotide ribosomal RNA is filed under the name Triticum aestivum (bread wheat). Its description in RNAcentral is "partial small subunit ribosomal RNA". Lineage: Eukaryota; Viridiplantae; Streptophyta; Magnoliopsida; Poales; Poaceae. The record is from RNAcentral.